UGUAUUUUAGUGUAUGUUGAAUAAAAGUUUUUGAUACUUUAGGAAAUAGUUUAAUUCUAUUAAGUACAG
Molecule: transfer RNA, 69 nt
Filed under: Curculio sp. SZ-2019
Lineage: Eukaryota; Metazoa; Arthropoda; Insecta; Coleoptera; Curculionidae
Description: tRNA-Gln
Rfam family: tRNA
About the family: Transfer RNA (tRNA) molecules are approximately 80 nucleotides in length. Their secondary structure includes four short double-helical elements and three loops (D, anti-codon, and T loops). Further hydrogen bonds mediate the characteristic L-shaped molecular structure. tRNAs have two regions of fundamental functional importance: the anti-codon, which is responsible for specific mRNA codon recognition, and the 3' end, to which the tRNAs corresponding amino acid is attached (by aminoacyl-tRNA synthetases). tRNAs cope with the degeneracy of the genetic code in two manners: having more than one tRNA (with a specific anti-codon) for a particular amino acid; and 'wobble' base-pairing, i.e. permitting non-standard base-pairing at the 3rd anti-codon position.
Source: RNAcentral